CCUACGGGGGACAGCAGUGGGGGAUAUUGCACAAUGGGGGAAACCCUGAUGCAGCGACGCCGCGUGGGUGAAGAAGCGCCUCGGCGCGUAAAGCCCUGUCAGCAGGGAAGAAAGUGACGGUACCUGAAGAAGAAGCCCCGGCUAACUACGUGCCAGCAGCCGCGGUAAUACGUAGGGGGCAAGCGUUAUCCGGAUUUACUGGGUGUAAAGGGGGCGCAGACGGCGAUGCAAGCCAGGAGUGAAAGCCCGGGGCCCAACCCCGGGACUGCUCUUGGAACUGCGUGGCUAGAGUGCAGGAGGGGCAGGUGGAAUUCCUGGUGUAGCAGUGAAAUGCGUAGAUAUCAGGAGGAACACCGGUGGCGAAGGCGGCCUGCUGGACUGCAACUGACGUUGAGGCCCGAAAGCGUGGGGAGCAAACAGGAUUAGAUACCCCAGUAGUC
RNAcentral lists this ribosomal RNA (440 nucleotides) under uncultured bacterium. RNAcentral describes it as "partial 16S ribosomal RNA". It matches the Rfam family "Bacterial small subunit ribosomal RNA", at positions 338 to 795 of the family's 1533-position model. The record is from RNAcentral.